This 482-nucleotide ribosomal RNA is filed under the name uncultured bacterium. RNAcentral describes it as "partial 16S ribosomal RNA". It matches the Rfam family "Bacterial small subunit ribosomal RNA", at positions 30 to 507 of the family's 1533-position model. The record is from RNAcentral.
AUUGAACGCUGGCGGCAUGCUUUACACAUGCAAGUCGAACGGCAGCGCGGGGCAACCUGGCGGCGAGUGGCGAACGGGUGAGUAAUACAUCGGAACGUACCCAGAAGUGGGGGAUAACGUAGCGAAAGUUACGCUAAUACCGCAUACGUUCUACGGAAGAAAGUGGGGGACCUUCGGGCCUCAUGCUCUUGGAGCGGCCGAUGUCUGAUUAGCUAGUUGGUGAGGUAAAGGCUCACCAAGGCGACGAUCAGUAGCUGGUCUGAGAGGACGACCAGCCACACUGGGACUGAGACACGGCCCAGACUCCUACGGGAGGCAGCAGUGGGGAAUUUUGGACAAUGGGCGCAAGCCUGAUCCAGCAAUGCCGCGUGAGUGAAGAAGGCCUUCGGGUUGUAAAGCUCUUUUGUCAGGGAAGAAACGGCUGAGGAUAAUACCUUCGGCUAAUGACGGUACCUGAAGAAUAAGCACCGGCUAACUACGUG